RNAcentral lists this unclassified non-coding RNA (236 nucleotides) under plant metagenome. Its description in RNAcentral is "partial contains small subunit ribosomal RNA, internal transcribed spacer 1, and 5.8S ribosomal RNA". The record is from RNAcentral.
GUUUCCGUAGGUGAACCUGCGGAGGGAUCAUUAAAGUUAUAGUCCCCCGGCCCCUCCGGGCUGGGGUCUUCUAUACCACCCUUUGUUUAUUACACCUUUGUUGCUUUGGCAGGCCUGCCCUCGGGCUGCUGGCUCCGGCCGGCUCGUGCCUGCCAGAGGACCUAAACUCUGUUUGUAUAUGAAGUCUGAGUACUAUAUAAUAGUUAAAACUUUCAACAACGGAUCUCUUGGUUCUG